GACGAACGCUGGCGGCGUGCCUAAUACAUGCAAGUCGAGCGGACUUACAAAGCUUGCUUUUUAAGUUAGCGGCGGACGGGUGAGUAACACGUGGGCAACCUGCCUGUACGACUGGGAUAACUUCGGGAAAUCGGAGCUAAUACCGGAUAAUCCUUUUCUACUCAUGUAGAAAAGCUGAAAGACGGUUUACGCUGUCACUUACAGAUGGGCCCGCUGGGCAUGAGCUAGUUGGUGAGGUAACGACUCACUAAGGCGACGCUGCGUAUCCGACCUGAGGGAGUGAUCUACCACACUGGGACUGAAAAACGGCCCAGACUCCGACGGGAGGCAACAAUAGGGAAGCUACCGCAAUGGACGAAAGUCUGACAGGGCAACGCCGCGUGAGUUAUGAAGGUUUUCGGAUCGUAAAACUCUGUUGUUAGGGAGGAACGAGUACGAGAGUAACUGCUCGUACCUGGACGGUACCUAACCAGAAAGCCACGGCUAGCUACGUG
Molecule: ribosomal RNA, 494 nt
Filed under: uncultured bacterium
Lineage: Bacteria
Description: partial 16S ribosomal RNA
Rfam family: Bacterial small subunit ribosomal RNA
Source: RNAcentral